GACGAACGCUGGCGGCGUGCUUAACACAUGCAAGUCGGGCGGUAAGGCCCUUUCGGGGGUACACGAGCGGCGAACGGGUGAGUAACACGUGGGUGACCUGCCCCUAUGCUCUGGGAUAAGCCUGGGAAACUGGGUCUAAUACCGGAUAGGACUCGCCUCUGCAUGGGGGUGGGUGGAAAGCUCCGGCGGUACGGGAUGAGCCUGCGGCCUAUCAGCUUGUUGGUGGGGUGAUGGCCUACCAAGGCGA
This 247-nucleotide ribosomal RNA is filed under the name uncultured Actinomycetes bacterium. RNAcentral's name for it is "uncultured actinobacterium partial 16S ribosomal RNA". It matches the Rfam family "Bacterial small subunit ribosomal RNA", at positions 28 to 276 of the family's 1533-position model. Lineage: Bacteria; Bacillati; Actinomycetota; Actinomycetes. The record is from RNAcentral.